CAUGACUCUAGUUUCUUCUCUGUCUCCUUAGGCCAGCUUACAAUGACCAGGCAAGGACCUGCCCUCGCUGACCUCUAAAGGUUAAUACAUACUAAAGAGCAAUGCUGUUUGAGGAGCAGAGAAACUCUGGAAAACUCUGCUGUCUGAAAUGAAAGCAAGGCACUCUCCAUUAACAGCUGGUGGAUUCCUGAUUUCUGCCCACGGAAGGCAUGUUCACACUGAGAGAGCUUUCCCGCAAGGGAAGAAUCACCUGCUUUAAUUCUUGCUGUCCUCUUCUGAGCUAGUUUGGUCAUCCACUCUGUAAAAAUGUGUGUCAACAUCAAGACAAAAAAAGAGUUGAAUUGAUAGGUGACUUGGGAGGUGCUCAUAGUUGUAAUAACUAUGGAAGACAAAAGAACACUGGCUGUAAUCUUUAUUUUCAGCACUAGUGUCUGGAACUAUAAAAACCUUCUUCAUUCCUUCCAACCAAUUGAUAUCAUGGCUAAAAAGUCUUUUCCUUAAAUCUGAUGGGUGUAAAAAUAAAAAGGAACAGCAUUUCUCUGGG
Non-coding RNA from Miniopterus natalensis, 544 nucleotides. NCBI's taxonomy places the organism in Eukaryota, Metazoa, Chordata, Mammalia, Chiroptera, Miniopteridae. The record is from RefSeq and is a predicted model, not a curated record.